RNAcentral lists this long non-coding RNA (783 nucleotides) under Cricetulus griseus (Chinese hamster). RNAcentral describes it as "lncRNA (ENSCGRG00015039404.1)". The record is from RNAcentral. Lineage: Eukaryota; Metazoa; Chordata; Mammalia; Rodentia; Cricetidae.
GUCAGUCGCAAGGGUGGAGAGGGCCACCCUGUAAACAUGUCUUCUCUCCUCUGAGGUCGGUUAUGGGAAGAAUAGAAAUAUCUCUUUUAGGGGGGCUUCCCCCUUGUCAUUUCCAUUUUUCAAUGUCAGAAAGGGAAGACUGGAAGAAAAUCAGGCAAAUUAAGCCCCCAAAGCGCACUGUAAUUUUCUAUUUCUGAACGGAUUUGUAAGAGAAUGGCUGAGUGAAGUUAGCAGAGCAUCACCCCCCACACAAAGAUGGCGCGUGCAGAAUUUGUGAAAGCGAAAGAGGAAGAGGAAGGACAAGCAAGAGAGGACGGAGCACUGCAGAGCUGGGUGCAGCUGGAGUCCAGAAAUGAUUUUUUUUUCGACAAAUUUAGGAUUUUGCCGCAGCGUACAUCUGCAUUCCCAGAAUCCUCCGGACGGUAAACCCAAGAAGGCCCAGAGAACACACACCUUCAAGCAUGAAGGAUGGUGGCAGUGUAACUAAAGGACCAGGCCACGGCCAUGGAGGUGGCCGUCACCUCCUGCCACCUUCACGAUCCCGCCUUUGCUCUGUAGUUGUACAUGCGCUGAGAGCUUUGCCCGGUGGCUCUGCGGAAUCCGCCCAGUGGGUUACUAGACGGCUUCUGUGUGGGAGAAAAAGCAACACACAGUCUGACAAGAGGUAUUUACAACUGCUUAGCCUGUUCAGCUGGAAAUUAACAAAAAAGAUGACAUAACCCUGACUCGAUGUUUUACAAAUCAAAAGUCUGGAUCCAUAAAUAGCCCACUUGACAAACGAAG